AAGGGGUGUAUGAACACCAAGAACUGCUAAUUCCUGCCCCUGAAGUUAAAAUCUUCAGACCCCUUA
Molecule: transfer RNA, 66 nt
Filed under: Leiocephalus personatus (Haitian curlytail lizard)
Lineage: Eukaryota; Metazoa; Chordata; Lepidosauria; Squamata; Leiocephalidae
Description: tRNA-Ser specifying AGY codons
Source: RNAcentral